CUUGGAAAUGUCCUUGACUCCGCUGAGCUCCACAAACUGGUGAACUCUGUUGUCGAGAAGUUCGGAACAGACGCUACCGAACAGCAGUGUGAGAAUGAAUGCAAAGUUCUAUUUACCAACGACAUCCUCGACCUCGGCUGCGACUUCGCCUGCAAGGGAAUCCAGAAUCUGAUCCAGAAGCUCCAUACAUAAAGGAGGGUCCCGCUGCUGCUUUAAUGUAGACUCGCGAAAUAAAAUGUUAAAAGUG
Molecule: long non-coding RNA, 247 nt
Organism: Haliotis rubra (blacklip abalone)
Lineage: Eukaryota; Metazoa; Mollusca; Gastropoda; Lepetellida; Haliotidae
Exons: 3
Source: RefSeq, a predicted model, not a curated record